UACGGAGGGUGCAAGCGUUAUCCGGAUUCACUGGGUUUAAAGGGUGCGUAGGCGUCCCGACAAGUUUUCGGUGAAAUCCUCAAGCUUAACUUGAGAAUUGCCGAGAAAACUGUCGGGAUUGAGUGUAGCUGAGGUGGGCGGAAUGUGCCGUGUAGCGGUGAAAUGCGUAGAUAUGGCACAGAACACCAAUAGCGAAGGCAGCUCACUAAGCUACUACUGACGCUGAGGCACGAAAGCGUGGGGAGCGAACAGG
Molecule: unclassified non-coding RNA, 253 nt
Filed under: uncultured Flavobacteriales bacterium
Lineage: Bacteria; Pseudomonadati; Bacteroidota; Flavobacteriia; Flavobacteriales
Description: contains 16S-23S intergenic spacer region
Rfam family: Bacterial small subunit ribosomal RNA
Source: RNAcentral